RNAcentral lists this ribosomal RNA (787 nucleotides) under uncultured bacterium. Its description in RNAcentral is "bacterial SSU rRNA". It matches the Rfam family "Bacterial small subunit ribosomal RNA", at positions 62 to 863 of the family's 1533-position model. The record is from RNAcentral.
UCUUGGGAGAAAGAGGUAGCAAUAUCUUGAGUAAACCGGCGCAAGGGUGAGUAACACGUAGGUAACCUGCCCAGAGGACGGGAAUAAUCCCGCGAAAGCGGGACUAAUACCCGAUGAUGUUCCGAUGCGACAUCGCAAUGGAAUUAAAAGCCGAAAGGUGCUUCUGGAUGGGCCUGCGUCCCAUUAGGUAGUUGGUGAGGUAACGGCUCACCAAGGCGACGAUGCGUAGCCGACCUGAGAGGGUGAUCGGCCACAUUGGAACUGAGACACGGUCCAGACUCCUACGGGAGGCAGCAGUGGGGAAUAUUGCGCAAUGGGGGAAACCCUGACGCAGCAACGCCACGUGAAUGAUGAAGGCCUUCGGGUUGUAAAGUUCUGUCUUCUGGGACGAUAAUGACGGUACCAGAGGAGGAAGCCACGGCUAACUACGUGCCAGCAGCCGCGGUAAUACGUAGGCAGCAAGCGUUGUUCGGAGUUACUGGGCGUAAAGAGUGUGUAGGCGGUUCACUAAGUUUGGUGUGAAAUCUCCCGGCUUAACUGGGAGGGUGCGCCGAAAACUGGUGGGCUAGAGUGUGGGAGAGGGAAGCGGAAUUCCUGGUGUAGCGGUGAAAUGCGUAGAUAUCAGGAGGAACACCUGUGGUGUAGACGGCUUCCUGGACCACAACUGACGCUGAGACACGAAAGCGUGGGGAGCAAACAGGAUUAGAUACCCUGGUAGUCCACGCCCUAAACGAUGCAAACUUGGUGUGGGCAGUUCAGUCUGUCUGUGCCGGAGCUAACGCGUUAA